This is a long non-coding RNA of Tupaia belangeri chinensis (Chinese tree shrew), 786 nucleotides long. RefSeq lists it as uncharacterized. Lineage: Eukaryota; Metazoa; Chordata; Mammalia; Scandentia; Tupaiidae. The transcript is spliced from 2 exons. The record is from RefSeq and is a predicted model, not a curated record.
UUGGCCAGUCGCCAGCACGUGACUGCCGGAGGAGGCCGCCCCGCCACCUGGGGGCGGGGCUCAGGACUGGCCAGCGGCUAGCGAGUCAACUUUUAUGAUCCUACUCCGCCCCAGGCGGCGCCACUACUUUGGAAGAACCUCAAUGAAAGCUGCUCUCUGCAGAGUCCCUUGCUUUCAGGACUUUACUACGUUCUGCUGCAUUCGUUUAAGAGAGAAAGAGAAGAAAAGUGAGAAAGCAAGAUACCAUGUCCGGGACUCAAAAAUGCAGUUGGCCACGUGAGGGUCUGGAGUCUAAACCAGCAUGCUCCCCGCUGGCCCCACCAAGAUCCCUUUUUGAAGGAAGAGCAGAGUGUCUGAGAUGAGGCCUCCCCAACUUUGAGAAUAUAGUAAUAAAAAAGUACAUUUCUCCUAUAUCGACAACACAAAAUACUUGUGAUCUCAGAUAUGUGUGGAAUUUUCCACCCAACAGACACUAGCUGUGUCCCCUGAUUCAAUUAAAUUCUGAUGCUGUCUACUAAAGGCAGUGUUAGACCCCACAGGUCAAGGGGGGGCUCAAUCUCACAAGAUUGAGCUCCCUUUCACACUUCAAAUGCCAAUUGCAAACUCCAGGUUGUUUUUACCUGUUUCUGACCAACUAACUAUAUUUCAGGCUUCCCAAGGCCUGCUCCUUUGGUUCAAUUAAUUUGCUAGAACAGCUCACAAAACCCAGAGAAACACAUUUGCCACUCUAUUGUAAAGAAUAAUACAAAAGAUAUCGUUCUAAAAGUAAAGUACAAGUAAAGGGGU